AAAUCCUAAGCUUUUAGCAUUUGUUUUGAAAACAAAAGAUAGAUUUUUCUAGGAUUUU
RNAcentral lists this transfer RNA (58 nucleotides) under Pyemotes zhonghuajia. RNAcentral's name for it is "tRNA-Ser". Lineage: Eukaryota; Metazoa; Arthropoda; Arachnida; Trombidiformes; Pyemotidae. The record is from RNAcentral.